Molecule: long non-coding RNA, 319 nt
Organism: Limanda limanda (common dab)
Lineage: Eukaryota; Metazoa; Chordata; Actinopteri; Pleuronectiformes; Pleuronectidae
Exons: 3
Source: RefSeq, a predicted model, not a curated record
GGGAACUGGAAGGGUUUGGAGCUUGAAACUUUUUUGUCUUCUCUUUCCUCAAGCAUGUUCCUUGCCUAACAAACCUACCAAGGGACCACUGACAACAUCGAAACCUGGAGGAUGUCUUCACUUUAUUGGAGGAUGUGGCCUUGGGCUAAAGCCCGUAGGACCUUUGAUGAAGCAUGAAACGACCCUACGUCCUGCAGAGAAACUUCAGUGAUCAGUGUGAUGGAAACCAGUAGUACCACUUGAGCUGCCCAUCAAACAAGCUUUGCAGUAACUGCCAUGCUAUGAAAUCGUCAUUGCAUGGCAAUCGUCUCAGCAAUCG